Molecule: long non-coding RNA, 246 nt
Filed under: Glycine max (soybean)
Lineage: Eukaryota; Viridiplantae; Streptophyta; Magnoliopsida; Fabales; Fabaceae
Description: long non-coding RNA (GMAX_LNC003005)
Source: RNAcentral
CUCUCAGAGAAAGCACACAACAAAGAUGACCGACGAAGACAAACCCAAAGCCUUCUCCGGCGGCCAUCACAACCACCCUCCGCCGCAGCCACAACCCUUCCCCGCCGCCCAGUAUGGCACCUUCCAAGGCGUCGCCAACUACCCUCCGCCGCAGCCGCACCCCGCCAUCGGCUUCCCUCACCCGGUUCCGCCGCCCGGCGCCGUCGACUCCUCCGCCCCUCCUCCGCCCUACUACCCGGGCUACCA